CAAGGGAUUUUCCGCAAUGGGGGCAACCCUGACGGAGCAACGCCGCGUGCGGGACGACGCCUCUUGGGGUGUAAACCGCUUUUGCCGGGGACGAGAACGGACGGUACCCGGCGAAUCAGGACCGGCUAACUACGUGCCAGCAGCCGCGGUAAUACGUAGGGUCCGAGCGUUGUCCGGAGUGACUGGGCGUAAAGCGCGCGCAGGCGGCCUGUUAGGCGCGACGUGAAAGCCCCGGGCUCAACCCGGGGGAGGGGUCGUCGCGAACCGGCGGGCUUGAGGCCGGUAGAGGUGGGUGGAACUCCUGGUGGAGUGGUGAAAUGCGUAGAGAUCAGGAAGAACACCCGUGGCGAAGGCGGCCCACUGGGCCGGUGCUGACGCUGAGGCGCGAAGGCGUGGGGAGCGAACGGGAUUAGAUACCCGGUAGUCCACGCAGUAAACGAUGUCGACUCGGUGUGGGCGGUCUUGACCCCGUCCGCGCCACAGCCAACGCGAGAAGUCGACCGCCUGGGGAGUACGGCCGCAAGGCUAAAACUCAAAGGAAUUGACGG
Molecule: ribosomal RNA, 548 nt
Filed under: uncultured bacterium
Lineage: Bacteria
Description: bacterial SSU rRNA
Rfam family: Bacterial small subunit ribosomal RNA
Source: RNAcentral